UUCUGUGCAAUUUCAUUUUGAUCUUAUAUUGGAAUAGAGUUGUAUCCGAUGUUGUGUUUAUAUAAGGUGUACAGGAACUUAAUUCAGCCAUGCAUAAAUGCAUAUCUAUUCUUUUCCAGGUUUUUCUUCCCAUAUACAUAAGAUCCUAAAAAGUAGUGAGAAGCAAGAGUCAGAGAAGAGAAUUAAAAUGCAGCAGGAGGUGGUGGAGGUGUUGGAAACAAGUGGAAAAUCCAAGAAAUGUAAUCCUGUAGAAGCAGGGCUCUACAAACUUAAAGCACAGAAACUGGGUUCUGGAAUUCUUUACAGUGGGCACAUUUUCCCUAAGAAACUGCCAGAGAAGCCACCCACUGUGCCUGUUGGCUUUGAUUUUGAAAUGGAGAAAAGAAUCAUACAGCAAGAAGCAAAGAGGGUAUUGCAGGAUAAACAGUUAAAUUUACGCAAAGCCUUGCCCUUAUCGUAUCUUGUUAGGUGUUGUGUGUGUUCCCGAUAAGAAAGAAAUUCCACUCACUGUCCCCAGGGCUCCUACCUUGGUUUGGAAGAAGAGAACCCAAAUCAACCCAAGAGGACGAGGACGAGGAGUAGCCAGGAGUGAUAAGAACCCAACAAUGGCCCCAGAUGGAGGACCUUUUAAGCCCAAAUCCUGGAGAAGAACAUGAAGAACGCGGCUCAGGCUGAGCCUUCCGCGUGGAGCCUGGCAGAAGAGGCGCCCGAAGGCACAGACGUGGGUUCUCUCCGCUCCUCCGGGGUGGCGGACGGGGCGGCUCCCUUCAGGCCGCGUCCGCAGCCGAGCCUGGGGGUGGAGCGACCGGAGCGCUCGGCGAUGCCCGCGCAGUCAAGGGCCGCUCCCUGACAGGAGUCGGUGGCUUCCACCCUCCUCCUCCGUUCUAUAUGUGAGUCAGAAUAUAUAGUUGAUUUGGUUUGUAAUUUAUUCACUUGAAGUGUAAUUUUUACAGCUUUAUCCUUCACUUUUUAUAUUUGUAUUUAAAAAUAAAGAUACUUGAUUUAGUUUACA
Molecule: long non-coding RNA, 1012 nt
Organism: Bubalus bubalis (water buffalo)
Lineage: Eukaryota; Metazoa; Chordata; Mammalia; Artiodactyla; Bovidae
Exons: 2
Source: RefSeq, a predicted model, not a curated record